Small nuclear RNA from Suricata suricatta (meerkat), 105 nucleotides. The record is from Ensembl. NCBI's taxonomy places the organism in Eukaryota, Metazoa, Chordata, Mammalia, Carnivora, Herpestidae.
GUGUUUGCUUCAGCAGCACAUAUACUAAAAUUGGAGUGAUGUAGAGAAGAUUAGCAUGGCUCCUAGGUAAGAGUGACAUGCAAAUGCAUGAAUUUCCAUAUUCGU